RNAcentral lists this ribosomal RNA (367 nucleotides) under uncultured Glomeromycotina. Its description in RNAcentral is "LSU rRNA". The record is from RNAcentral. Lineage: Eukaryota; Fungi; Glomeromycota.
UUGAAAGGGAAACGAUUGAAGUCAGUCGUGCUGGCGCGUAAUCAGCCUAUGAUUUGUCAAACAAGUAGUGUGGUGAGCCUCAAAACCGCCAUAUUAUUUGUCUGGCUAAUCGUCGGUGCACUUUCGUGUCGGCUGGUUAACAUCAAUUUCAAAUGUCAUAAAAAGGCUGGAGGGAUGUGGCUCCUUCGGGAGUGUUAUAACCUUUAGCGGAAUGUGGUGUUUGGGAUUGAGGAUUGCAACGAAUACCUUUAGGGCUGUUCCACCUGGUCUCUCUUUGGCAUCUUGGCGGCGACAGCUUGCUGACGUUGUUAAGAUUUGACAUUGAACAGGCUAGAGUGUGGGCAAAUUCGUUAAGGAUGUUGACGUA